UUGGAGUAUUCUGAGAUCACAGCAAUCUGAUGUUUAAGGAGGUUAAUGUAAUACUCACAGGGGCCUGAUGGAAGAGUUCACAAAACAGAUGAACCCACCUGAAUUCUGAGAGUUUGAGCAGGCGGAUUCUUAACCCGUAUUCAGAUGGCUGAUAACAUAACGAUGUCAUGGCCAAUGAGAAAAAUCAACUUGGAGGACAAAACUCACCUCCUCACUAACUCCAGUAGACGUGCCUCCUACUUGGAUCUUAGCUGCCCAAUAAGAACUCAAGAAAGCCAUGAGUCAGUGGGAACAAAUUCUGGUUUAAAGUGGAACAAGCCAAACUCUGUUACCCUCCUCAGCAACCCUGGGCUGAGUAGAAUCUCCACCUCACCUGCAGCCAGCCCAUGUCUUCAUGACUUGCCCAGCCUGCUGAGCCCAAUGCAGAAAUAAUACUCAACUUGAUGUCUUCAGUAAUAUAAAAUCAUUAUUUAUUUUACAACUCCCACUGUGGUUUCUGAAUGCUUCAGUGCUGAGCAGCUCCUCAAUUCCCUCUGAGGCACAAUCGUUUGUUUACCUGCUCCACUCAUUUCAUUCCGCACUUGUGUAUGGCAACUACAAGAUGGCAUGUCAACUUUCAGAAUCUGGGGGAAAAAAGGGAGUGAGACAGUUAAAAGUUUCAGCCCUAAAAGCUUUUGACACAUCUUUCUGUCCAUGUAAUCAAUCUUCUAAGUUUCCAGGAGCAGCUGAGAUUUUUUUUUUUUAAAACAGCUGUAAUCUGUGGUCAUUGAUGGUGGGGUAGAUUGUUUGCCAAACUAUUACCAUAACUGUCAACCGAAAUCAGAAAAAUAAUCUCAUUGUGCUGGACAGAUGCCUUUCCUGCAUUAUUGAUAUAGUCGCUGCGGAGUAAUAGAGAAAUAUAAAGCAUUGUUCUAUUUACAAAAGGAGAUUGGCCAAGUCCUUGAGAGUGAGCAGGAGGGACAGGCACUUAAAGGAAGUGAGAUAUAGUCAACUCAGUAAAAGUUAUGUGUCAGGGUCAUGUGGCCUCCAUAGUCAGCAGUAGAAUCUCGGUUUUCAAUAGCUUUUCCUCUCCUUUCUCACUUUCAGAUUUAGCUCCAUAGCUUAAUCUCUGACUAAAUGAGCUUACUAGUGCUUCAGUGCAGCACCGUGGAAUUCACACAGCUUUUCCCCCUUGUCUCUGGCUGCCCCAAAUGCAUCUCAGGGACUGCCAUAUUACCAGAAAAUGCACAAAACAGUGCGUUCCCAAUGCUCGACUUCACAGUGAGGAUAAGCGAGUCAGCACUGCCCAUUAGAGUACAAUACAGGAGAAUUUUUGCUUGCUUGCCAUCAAGAUACCUCUGAAGACACUUUGCAAAGCAAUGAACUAAAUAUGAGCAUUGCAGCAAAUCCUUAGGCAGAUGGAGCAACCAGCCUGCAUUUAGCCACAGCGCCCACAGAGUCUUUUGCUGUUACAAAUGUUUGUAUAUAGAGAGGGGCCCGAUUUUGCUUGGGAAUCUGCUACAGUGAACCCAUAACCCC
Long non-coding RNA from Phasianus colchicus (ring-necked pheasant), 1518 nucleotides. RefSeq lists it as uncharacterized. The record is from RefSeq and is a predicted model, not a curated record. Lineage: Eukaryota; Metazoa; Chordata; Aves; Galliformes; Phasianidae.